AUCGCUCUCAGCCUUUUGGCUAAGAUCAAGUGUAGUAUCUGUUCUUAUCAGAAGCAGACAAUACGAAACCAUGUAUGUAUGGUCAACUAAUCUUCCACAGAAGUAUCAAGAAUACAAUUAGUACAGGAUAAUCUAU
This is a small nuclear RNA of Oryctolagus cuniculus (rabbit), 136 nucleotides long. Its record names the gene U2. It matches the Rfam family "U2 spliceosomal RNA". From Rfam's summary of the family: U2 is a small nuclear RNA (snRNA) component of the spliceosome (involved in pre-mRNA splicing). Complementary binding between U2 snRNA (in an area lying towards the 5' end but 3' to hairpin I) and the branchpoint sequence (BPS) of the intron results the bulging out of an unpaired adenosine, on the BPS, which initiates a nucleophilic attack at the intronic 5' splice site, thus starting the first of two transesterification reactions that mediate splicing. The record is from Ensembl. NCBI's taxonomy places the organism in Eukaryota, Metazoa, Chordata, Mammalia, Lagomorpha, Leporidae.